UAUUCGUACUUACUAUAAAUCUGCUCAUGUUCUGUCCCGUCUCAAAUGGAGCAAAAAAUAAAAUAAAAAUUGAUCUGCCUAAAGUCUGCGUCUGACCCGCCAAGGAACCACCAAGGAAGGAACCGGGGCGGGCCGUGAGCGAUUCCUCCCGCCCCCAAAUCCGCCCCCUAUGCAUCUCUCACAUCCUGACUCCAGAUCUGUCUUUUUUGCAUUCUUAAUUGAAUCAUCCGUGUGCAGAAAUAUUCUGUAUAUAAAAUUGAAUAGGAUAAGUUGGAAGCUUUUUGUUGUGAUAGGAGGAUGAAAUAAAAUUAUGAUGUCUAAAAAUGUAAACUUUGUUGUGAAUUAGAUCCUGUCUAUAUUGCAGAAAAAAGUGAUUGAUAAAUUUUUACUUUUGAAAAAGACUUAUAUAUUAGUAAAAAUAUAAAACUUAUCGGAACUAUGGGUUUUAUUGAAUCAACUAUCCAACCUUUCAAAGUUUUAAUUUUACUAUUCAAUCUUUCUAAUUUAUUUGGUUUGCAACAUUCAACGGCUUUUCUUUAAAUAGAAAAAAUUAUUUAAUGGUACUUGAAUUUUAAAAUUUGAAUGUGUCGUUCAUCUUUAUAGAUUUAGUUAGUAUACUUCAUUUAAUUAUUACAACUAUAAAUUUGUUAAAACAAGUAAUUACUUUAAAUUUCAAAGUCGAAAUAUCGUUGACUAACUCAAAUCAAAUAAAUUGAGAGGUUGGGUGGUAAAAUUAAAAUUUUGAAAAGUUCGAUAAUAAAUUCAAACUAAUCUAUAAUUUAUAUAUAUUCUAAAUAUUUUUACCUAAAAUAGUUUAUCAAACACCAUCAAACAAACACCAUCAAAC
RNAcentral lists this long non-coding RNA (847 nucleotides) under Ananas comosus (pineapple). Its description in RNAcentral is "long non-coding RNA (ACOM_LNC010554)". Lineage: Eukaryota; Viridiplantae; Streptophyta; Magnoliopsida; Poales; Bromeliaceae. The record is from RNAcentral.